Arabidopsis lyrata subsp. lyrata is the source of this 170-nucleotide microRNA precursor. Lineage: Eukaryota; Viridiplantae; Streptophyta; Magnoliopsida; Brassicales; Brassicaceae. The record is from Rfam.
AAGAGAAGAACAUAUAAGGAUAUCCAAGGAGACUGCCUGACAUCUUUUUUAUAAGCAAAAUGGUCAUCGCUUGAUGUAAUUGAUAGUCACUUUGUCAAACAUGACACUAACCAUUUUACGCAAAGGAAUCAGGCAAGUCAUCCUUGGCUACCAAAUAUGAUUCUCCUACU